This is a long non-coding RNA of Salarias fasciatus (jewelled blenny), 1344 nucleotides long. RefSeq lists it as uncharacterized. The transcript has 3 exons. The record is from RefSeq and is a predicted model, not a curated record. NCBI's taxonomy places the organism in Eukaryota, Metazoa, Chordata, Actinopteri, Blenniiformes, Blenniidae.
AGAAGCUCAGGCUCAGCUAGAAGCAGCUGCUCACCUGGUAAAGCUGCUGGACUCACCUGCUCAGGGGUCGAUGAGUUCAGGUUGGUGGGAGGAGCCAGUCGCUGUGCAGGAAGUCUGGAGCUGAAAUAUGUUGGUGACCAGAGACCUGUGAUGGGCGAUGGCUUCACCCUGGAGACAGCCGCUCUCUUUUGUGAGCAUCUGAACUGUGGCUCUGCUGUUUCUCUUGAACGAACUGAUGCGCCACUUCAAUCUAUGUGGCGAAUCGACUCAGAAUGUUUUCGAUCUGGACCUGAUCCGUGGAACUGUGUGGUAUCAUGGAGCUUCUUUCGCACACUGAAACUCAUCUGCUCAGGCCAGCAGGGGGCAGACCGGCAGACCGGCAGACCGGCAGACCGGGCGGACGCUGAGCGGGUGCAGUGGAGGGAUGAAUUCGGUCCUCUGAACCUUCCUGCUGUGAGGACUAGAUGGUUUUUAUGAGCUUCUUACAGCAAUGAUGAAUCUCAUCACGUUCCCACAGACAGUGGAACAAGGUUCCUUUUCCUUUUGUGGACCGUGGCGAAAAAAGAGCGUUGUUUUGUCGUAUACUGGACCACAGUGGAUGUCCUUUUUUAAUCUCCUUUUUACUCCUUUUUCAUUGAUGUUUUUCAGUCAUAUCAUGGAUGCUCAUUUCAUCAUAUAUUAUCAUCUGCUCCGCUCAGGCCGACUGUGUUUAACAGAGGAGAUAUUUUUGUGAUUGUAAUCCAACUUAUUAGCUUGUUCUGCACCAAGGUGAGGCAGGAUGUGGUUUGCAGCAGGUGUUGGACCGUAUGGAACCUGACCGGUUUGUAUUUAAUCCUGAGUGGUUCCAUCGUGGCCUGAAGAACUCAUGUGGAUCUCACCGAGUGCAUGUUGUGUUUUUCUUCUCUCUUCGUUCUCUUUUUGUUGAGAACUGAGGCUGUGGUUGGUUUUCUUGGUAACAAAACAGCAUCAGAGGACAUGUCCAUGGGACCGGAGCGUAUAAGUAGACCCUGUUUUCCAGUGGAUGGCGCUCUCGCUUUCCCUUUCUGAAUUAUCAGAGAAAAGAUCGAACCCUGACCUGAAAUCUGGAGAGAGGUGACCUCUGAGGUUGAUGUCAGCCAGAUACCAAAUUUAGACAAAAAACUGAUCAUUGUGAGCAGCAGAAUCUAAAAGCCGCUCACUUGAAUUGACCAUAUUAAAAUAAUACAUGCCAAAUAUUUGAGACGUAACAGAACCAACGCAAAAUCAGUUCUCUUUGAUUUCUUCAUUUUUUGGUAUUUUACUUUUUUUUAAUCAAUUUUGGAUUGUAACCUGUAAUCCUUUGAGUGAAUAAAAAUCUGGUGAACA